RNAcentral lists this ribosomal RNA (848 nucleotides) under uncultured bacterium. RNAcentral describes it as "bacterial SSU rRNA". It matches the Rfam family "Bacterial small subunit ribosomal RNA", at positions 28 to 924 of the family's 1533-position model. The record is from RNAcentral.
AACGUACGCUGGCGGCACGCCUAACACAUGCAAGUCGAACGAAGUAGCAAUACUUAGUGGCAGACGGGUGAGUAACAUGUAGGUAUCUGCCCUUUGGCCUGGAAUAACACGAGGAAACUUGUGCUAAUACCGGAUAAGUCUUUACGGAGAAAGCUUUACGCACCAUUGGAUGAGCCUGCACUUGAUUAGUUUGUUGGUGGGGUAAUGGCCUACCAAGACUGUGAUCAAUAGCUGAUUUGAGAGGAUGAUCAGCCACAUUGGGACUGAGACACGGCCCAAACUCCUACGGGAGGCAGCAGUGGGGAAUCUUGCACAAUGGAGGAAACUCUGAUGCAGCGAUGCCGCGUGAGUGAAGAAGGCCCUUGGGUUGUAAAGCUCUUUCGUCGGGGAAGAAAAUGACUGUACCCGAAUAAGAAGGUCCGGCUAACUUCGUGCCAGCAGCCGCGGUAAUACGAAGGGACCUAGCGUAGUUCGGAAUUACUGGGCUUAAAGAGUUCGUAGGUGGUUGAAAAAGUUAGUGGUGAAAUCCCAGAGCUUAACUCUGGAACUGCCAUUAAAACUUUUCAGCUAGAGUAUGAUAGAGGAAAGCAGAAUUUCUAGUGUAGAGGUGAAAUUCGUAGAUAUUAGAAAGAAUACCAAUUGCGAAGGCAGCUUUCUGGAUCAUUACUGACACUGAGGAACGAAAGCAUGGGUAGCGAAGAGGAUUAGAUACCCUCGUAGUCCAUGCCGUAAACGAUGUGUGUUAGACGUUGGAAAUUUAUUUUCAGUGUCGCAGGGAAACCGAUAAACACACCGCCUGGGGAGUACGACCGCAAGGUUAAAACUCAAUGAAUUUGACGGGGACCCGC